Marmota marmota marmota (Alpine marmot) is the source of this 278-nucleotide unclassified non-coding RNA. NCBI's taxonomy places the organism in Eukaryota, Metazoa, Chordata, Mammalia, Rodentia, Sciuridae. The record is from Ensembl.
ACACAAUCUUAAAGUGUUUCCAUCUUAGAAAAAUCUUUUCAAGUAUUUCUUUUGUGUUUUUUAACCUAUAAAAAAAGAGAUGAUGGAAUAUAUUUUAUAAACUGAAUUUUAUCUUACUCCUUUUCACUCUCCCAACUGCAGUUUAAUAGUCAGAUUUCCCUGAGCAUUGGAUUUAAGUAUAUAGGACCCAAAUAUUCCUCAGUAAAUUAUUUUGCUAACUACUUUGUCACUUUUGUGAUUUCACAUUUGAGAAAUAGGUUAAUUACAGAAAUCUACCU